UACGGAGGGUGCGAGCGUUGUUCGGAAUUACUGGGCGUAAAGCGCGUGUAGGCGGCCUCUUCAGUCUGGUGUGAAAGCCCGGGGCUCAACCCCGGAAGUGCAUUGGAUACUGGGAGGCUGGAGUACCGGAGAGGAGGGUGGAAUUCCUGGUGUAGCGGUGAAAUGCGUAGAUAUCAGGAGGAACACCUGUGGCGAAGGCGGCCCUCUGGACGGAUACUGGCGCUGAGACGCGAAAGCGUGGGGAGCAAACAGG
Molecule: ribosomal RNA, 253 nt
Filed under: uncultured bacterium
Lineage: Bacteria
Description: partial 16S ribosomal RNA
Rfam family: Bacterial small subunit ribosomal RNA
Source: RNAcentral